RNAcentral lists this ribosomal RNA (231 nucleotides) under uncultured bacterium. RNAcentral's name for it is "partial 16S ribosomal RNA". It matches the Rfam family "Bacterial small subunit ribosomal RNA", at positions 100 to 334 of the family's 1533-position model. The record is from RNAcentral.
UAAAGGUGGCGGUACGGGUGAGUAACACGUGGAUCAUCUACCCUGGAGUGGGGAAUAACGCUGGGAAACCGGCGCUAAUACCGCAUAAUCCCGAGAGGGCAAAGGAGCAAUUCGCUUCAGGAGGAGUCCGCGGCCGAUUAGCUAGUUGGCAGGGUAAAAGCCUACCAAGGCAUCGAUCAGUAGCCGGCCUGAGAGGGCACACGGCCACACUGGCACUGAAACACGGGCCAG